RNAcentral lists this unclassified non-coding RNA (144 nucleotides) under soil metagenome. Its description in RNAcentral is "partial internal transcribed spacer 1". The record is from RNAcentral.
UUAAUAAGUGUUUUAUGGCACUUUUAAAUCCAUAUCCACCUUGUGUGCAAUGUCAGUCGAUCUUCUUCAUGGAGAUCGACCAAACAUCAACCUUUAUCUUUUAACUCUUGUCUGAAAAAUAUUAUGAAUAAACAAUUCAAAAUA